Long non-coding RNA from Olea europaea var. sylvestris, 6202 nucleotides. RefSeq lists it as uncharacterized. NCBI's taxonomy places the organism in Eukaryota, Viridiplantae, Streptophyta, Magnoliopsida, Lamiales, Oleaceae. The record is from RefSeq and is a predicted model, not a curated record. The transcript is spliced from 4 exons.
UAGGCCAAUCGAGGCUAACUAUGCUUCAGCCUCCAGUACCAAUCACGACUGGCAUCACAACUCGGCCACCACCCACCACGACUACUGAUGUCAAUAACCUCACAUUACAUUCAGAAGAUUACAAUGGUGCUGACCAGAUUCAAGUGGAAAAUGGGACAGGCUCUCUCUCAUGACUACUUGGGGAACAUCCAGCAUAGAGGUUAUGUCCGAGAUGGCCUCUACUAUUUUUCGCAGCCUUAUCAGCCAUGUCCUGCAUCAGCCUAUAUUGGUGCUUGUAUUUCAAUAGUAGUUUGGCAUCAACGCUUCGGAUAUAUUUCUUACCCUAUUGUUCAACAUGUCAUUUGCUCAAAUAAAAUCUCUGUUGCUACAAAUAAGAGACAGAAUUUAUGUCCUGACUGUCAAUUGGCAAAAAGCCAUAAUUUGCCUUUUAUCAGUCUCAUAUUACAGCUACAUGGCCUCUAAAAUUGCUUUGCUCUGAUGUCUGGGGCCAUGUGCUGAAAUUUCUACUUAUGGAUCUCUUUAUUAUGUCUGUUUUCUUGAUGAUUAUACAAAGUUCAUUUGGCUAUUUCCUUUAAAAUUGAAAUCAAAUGUUCUAUAUUUAUUCAUUUUCAAAAAAUGGUGGAAUGCCAAUUUGAUACGACCAUUAAAUCAAUAUAAACUGAUUGGGGCGGUGAAUAUAGAUGUUUAGUAGUUUUUUUAAGAACAUUAGAAUUCAACAUCGGCUUGUAUGUCCACAAACGAAUGAACAGAUGGAUGCAAUAGAAGACAACAUCUUCAAAUAGUUAAAAUAGGUCUAGCUCUUUUAGCUCAUUCCAACGUCCAAAACAAUUUUAGGAAGACGCUUUUCUAAUUGCCACUUAUAUAAUUAGCCCACAUUUGGCCCUCAUUAAAUUAAAUUUCCUUGAAAUAAUAUUACUCGUAAAUCGAAAUUUUUCUUCUUUUUUAACAAUUCAUUUUUCAAGAAAAUACUAUUCCUCCCAUUUUAAUUUGAAAAAAUGGGGGCUUAAUCAUCCCCCAACAAAAUUUUUGAAUCAAAAAUCACCCCUUUGAAUGGUAUACAAACGAAGACCAAAUUCUAAUUAUUUAUGUGUGUUUGAAUGUGCAUGUUAACCAAAUUUACAACUUUAUAAUCAUCAUAAAAUUGAUUAUUGGUUAUAGUACUUCUCUUUAGGGUUACAAAUGUCUUGAUGUAGCAACAGGAAAAAUAUUUGUCUCAUGUCAUGUUAUUUUUGAUGAAAAUUUCUUUUUGUACAAACACAUCUCUCCCACAAAAAGCCUCAUCUUCCACUCAUACCUUUCUUUCUGCUAAUCUUAGUCAAAAUCAAUCCUCUUGCUCUCCUAUUUUGUUUUAUGCAGAUACUCAAUCUCGUGUACAACACCCACUUGGAUCGACCUCCCCAUCAUUGGCAGUUCAAAAUGUUCCAACACCUGUACUAGUCAAAGCUCUCCUGAUUUAAAUCUUGGAUCAUUACCUGUUGUGACUUCUACUGAUCCAAUGGUUGACAUUGAACCUCUAGUUUGCAAGAGCCCAUUUCUUCGCAACAAAUGGUAACCAGAUCAAAGACCAACUCUCUUAAGCCUAAGAAAACACCAGUUUAUCACAUUCGUUACCCACUACCAAAGGCUCUUGUUGCAUUUCAAACAUCAGUUCAGCUGGAACCAACAUGUUAUUCGGAGGCAAUGAAAUCUUCUAAGUGGAGAUCAGCAAUGAACAAUGAAUUUGAUGCUCUUAUUCGAAACCAGACAUGGACCUUAGUGCCACCUGUAUCAAGUGUCAACAUAAUGGGUUGCAAGCGGGUGUAUCGCAUUAAAGGUCGUGAUGAUGGGCAAAUUAAACAGUUUAAAGCCCGCUUUAUUGCAAAAGGCUGUCAUCAACAUAAAGGAGUUGAUUUUUAGCCCAGUUGUAAAACCAGUUACCAUUCGUAUGGUUCUUUCCAUUGCCAUCACAAGAAACUGGCGUUUAAAACAAAUAGACAUUCGGACUGCUUUUCUACAUAGAGUACUUGAUGAAGAUGUUUACAUGAGUCAACCCCUACGUUAUGUCCAUUCUGAUUAUCCCAAUUAUUUGUGCAAAUUAAAUAGAAGUCUUUAUGGCUUAUGUCAAGCGCCACAAUCGUGGUUCUCGCGCUGCUUCUAAGAUUGGGUUUUGUAGCUUCAAAGGCUGAAACAUCUCUAUAUAUGCUACAGAAAGCCAAUUUGUAGUUAUUCUCUCUCAUUUAUGUUGAUGAUAUUAUCAUCACAGAGUCUGCAAAAUCAAAAGUAAAUAAAGUAAUUCAUGCCUAGUCUCAUACUUUUCCAGUUAAAGAACUUGGUGACCUCUCUUAUUUUCUUGGGAUUGAGGUCUUAUGUACAUCAGACGGUUUAUUUCUUACACAGAGAAAAAUAUAUUCUUGGCCUUCUCCACCGUGCUGAUCUUGACAAAGUUAAGCCAUGCACUACCUCAAUGGCUUCCACCGCUCGACUCUCCAAAUAUGUGGUACUAAGCUUGACAGUAGUUCUCUACAGAAGCAUAGUUGGAGGUCUAUGAUAUUGGAGCUUUACACGUCCAGACAUAGCUUAUGCUGUUCAUAAAGUUAGCAAAUACAUGCAUUCCCCACGGGAUGCUCACUGGGCUACUGUAAAACAUAUAUUACGCUAUCUGAAAAACACCAUCUUGAAUGGCUGAUUUCUAUCCAAAUGAUUAGCUAAUGCUUAACAUGCAUUUGCAAAUGAAGAUUGGGCAUCUGAUGGAGAUGAUCGAUGUUUUGUAGGGGUCUAUUGCAUUUUCCACUGGGAUAAUCUCAUUUGCUGGUCUUGCAAACAAGAGACAAUAGCAAAGAGUAGCACCGAGGAUGAAUACGAGGCUGUCUCUACUGCUGCUACAGAGGUUCAAUAGAUUCAGUCCUUACUCACAGAAAUCCAGCACUCAUUGUUUACUUUUCCUCAACUCUGGCGUGACAUUGGCAUGACAUACCUCUCCGUGAAUCCAAAAUUCCAUGCAAGGACAAACACAUUGAAAUUGAUGUUUAUCAUGUUCGUUAUCUUGUAUUGCAAAAGAAAUUGCAGGUUCUGAGUUUGGUCGGCAUUUUAUAGUGGAUAAAGUGCAAUCAAUGGUAGCCGGUGUACUCUUGGUCUUUAGAGGUCUUUGUGGGUCGAUUUCAAGCGUGUCACUGGUGGAAGUUUUAGCCGUCUUCUCCUUCAGAUCAUUAAUUCCAGGUGUCUAGUGGGAACUUCAUUCUUGGACUCAUUCGGUGCACAAGUUCAUUGGCUAGCAGUCGUAUUCGACGAUUUUAGAUUUGGGCUCUGGGUCUCUGUUGAUUUGAUAAAAUAUUAGAUUUGGGCUCCUUUAUUUGGACAGGGAGAAAAUUCUAUUAUUCAUUUUAAUGGAAAAAAUUACUCGAGUUGGGAAUUUCAAUUCCGGAUGUUUGUGAAAGGAAAAGAAUUAUGAAGUCAUUGGAUGGAUCUUCUACGGCACCUACUAACGCCAAAGAACUUAAUUCAUGGGAAAGUAAGGAUGCUAAGAUUGGUUGAUGGCUACUAACCAAUCUUCGUUCCUUCACUAUCGCUAAAGAAAUGUGGGAUUACCUCAAGCGUAUUUACUAUCAAGAUAAUGUGCUCAAAAGUUUCAAUUGGAGUUGGAAAUUGUCAACUACAAUCAGGGUAAUCUUUCUAUCGAUCAAUUUUAUGCUGGCUGGAUUUCUUAAUCUGUGGAGUGAAUAUUCUGGGGUAGUUCAUUCCAAAGUCCCUAAGGAAGCUUUAGUAACACUUCAUGCUAUUUAUGCUAAGAGUCAGAGAGAUCAAUUUCUGAUGAAGUUGUGACCAGAAUUUGAGACUGUGCGGGCUAAUUUACUAAACCGUACUCCGAUUCCCUCCUUAGAUGUAUGCCUGAGAGAAUUACUACGUGAGGAACGUCUUGCCACACAACUUGGGAUGAUUCCAAAAACAACUACAACUGAGAUGGUUAAUGUGGCAUAUGCUACUCAAGGGAAAGGAAAAUUCAAGACACAACUACAAUGCUACAAUUGCAAGGAGUUUGGGAAUGUUGCGAAAAAUUGCAGCAAGAAAUUUUGCAAUUACUGCAAAAAGGAAGGACAUAUUAUUAAAGACUGUUGAGUGCGGCCUCAAAUUAAACAAGGGACGACCUUUCACACUGCUGUCCAACCUAAUUCAUCCACUAUACCUCAAACUGGUUCUUCCACUACUCUUACACCUGAGAUGGUCCAACGAUGAUUGUUUCUGCUUUCACUGCUCUUGGUUUUCAAGGUAAGAAAAAUCUACUUACCUCUCCUUGAUUGGUUGAUUCGGCAGCAUCCAAUCAUAUGAUAGGUAGUAUAGAGGCCCUACAUGAUAUUCGUAAGUAUGAGGGCAAUCAAUACACUCAAAUAGCCAAUGGCAAUACUCUUCCUAUCUAAGCAAUUGAAAAUUUGGGAUCUUCUUUUACCAAUGUAUUUGUGUUACUAGAAUUAUUUACGAGUUUGAUUUCUAUUGGAUAGUUGAUAGAUGAUAAUUAUGAAAUUCGUUUUAAUCGUUCUGGUUGUAGUGUGUAGGAUCAAAUAUCGGGAAAAGUGAUCGCGAAGGGACCUAAAGUGGGAUGUUUAUUUCCUCUUCAAUUUUCCAUUUCUGAUUCCUUUGCAUCUACUGUUGUUGCUAUUGAUAGCAAUGUUUGGCAUAAGAAAUCAGGUCACCCCAAUUCUAAGGUCUUGACUUAUCUCAUAAAAAAUGGUUUUUUUGGCCAAUAAAGAUUCAUUUUCUCAUAUGUCUUCUGAUUGUAGUUAUUGUAAACUUGGUAAAAGCAAAACUUUACCUUUCCGUCACAUGCUAAUCGAGCUUUCACAUGUUUUGAGAUUAUUGAUACUGAUGUGUGGGGUGUAAGUCCUAUACCUUCUCAUUCUCAUUAUAAGUAUUUUGUAACAUUCAUUGACGACUAUAGUCGUUUCAGGUGAUGUGUUUUCCAGGUUUAAAAAUUUUGUUGCAUUUGUUGAGACCCAAUUUUCUACUCAUAUUAAGAUAUUAUGCUUUGAUUCGGGAGGGGAAUAGAUGUCUAAUGAAUUUCAAGAAUAUCUCAAAAUAAAAGAAUUCUCUCUCAGCGUUUGUGUUCUUGCACUCCCCAAUAGAAUGGGGUUGCUGAGCGUAAGUAUCAGCAUCUUUUAGAUGUUCGUACUUUAUUGAUUGAAUCUUCUGUGCCCCCUAAAUUUUGGGUAGAAACUUUAUCCAAAGUUGUUUAUUUGAUUAAUGGGCUUUCCUCUCCAAAUUUACAGCUCGAUUCUCCGUAUUCUCGUUUUUUCGAUGUUGCACCUAAGUAUAAUUAUCUUCAUGUGAUCGGCUGCGUUUGCUUUGCUCAUUUACCUUCCAUUGAAAAUCACAAGCUUACUGCACAGUCUACUCGAUGUGCGUUUCUCGGGUAUAAUAAUACACAAAAAGCGUUUAUAUGUUAUGAUCCUAAUGCUAACAAGCUACAUGUCUCUCGAAAUGUGGUUUUCUUUAAAACUCAAUAUUUCUUUCAAUCUUAUGUUGAUUUUCCUUCUACUUCUAUUCAACUACCUGAGUUUGAUGAUUUGUCUUAUACUAUUGAACGCUUUAAGCCUGGACUUGUGUACUAGAGAUGUCUUCUAUCGUCUCCAGUGCUUCCUUCUAACAUUGAACCAACGCCUGAUCCCGUCUUCACUGUACCUCAACGGUCUUCUCGAAUUUCACGACCUCCAGAUAAGUAUAGCUUCUCACAUACUACUCAUCAAGCUACUCUCGAUAUUAUUAUUGUGCCCAAAUCUUACUCUCAGGCUUCUAAUCAUGCAUGUUGGAGACAAGCUAUGCAAGAAGAACUUCAAGCACUUCAGGAUAAUCAUACAUGGGACAUCGUUCCAUGUCCUGAUGGAAUAAAGCUUAUUGGAUGCAAAUGAGUAUAUGCCAUCAAAAAUCGAUUUGAUAGUUCUGUAUAAAGGUAUAAGGCUUGAUUGGUGGCACUUGGAAAUCAUCAAGAAUAUGGCUUGAUUAUGAUGAAACAUUUGGACUUGUGGUGAAGAUGACUACUGUAAGAACUAUUAUGGCAAUCGCCGUGUCUAAAGGAUUGUCUCUCAAGCAAAUAGAUGUAAAGAAUGCGUUCUUACAUGGGGACUUGAAGGAGGAAAUUUUUAUGAGUCCUCCCCCUAGUAUGUUCAUUCACUCUUUCAUUGAGGUAUGUCGGUUGAAGCGGUCUCUGUAUGGAUUGAAGCAGGCCCCACGGGCA